Molecule: ribosomal RNA, 890 nt
Filed under: uncultured fungus
Lineage: Eukaryota; Fungi
Description: eukaryotic LSU rRNA
Rfam family: Eukaryotic large subunit ribosomal RNA (bases 360-890)
Source: RNAcentral
GAUCAUUAGGGGAAUAUUAUAUUGUGAAUUGCCUUUUUUUUGAAAUGAUAAUGAAAUUGUACGAAUUGAAUGGAAAUGACAACUUUCAACAACGGAUCUCUUGGCUCUCGCAUCGAUGAAGAACGCAGCGAAAUGCGAUAAUUAAUGUGAAUUGCAGUUUUCAGUGAAUCAUCGAGUCUUUGAACGCAUCCUUGCGCUCCUUGGUCCUCCACGGAGCAUGCCUGUUUGAGAGUCACCGGAUUAGUUCGAUCGAUCAUGAUCGAUCGGAGAUGAAGUGUGCCGGGAUCUCUCGGCUACUUUGAAAUGCAGAGGCCUUGACGGUAAUCAAGUCCCAGAUAUGGCUGUAUGGGUUUUAUGCAUGACCUCAAAUCAGGCAAGACUACCCGCUGAACUUAAGCAUAUCAAUAAGCGGAGGAAAAGAAACUAACAAGGAUUCCCUCAGUAACUGCGAGUGAAGCGGGAAAAGCUCAAAUUUGAAAUCGGCCGGUCAUAUGGACCUUAUGCCGAGUUGUAAUCUAGAGAGGCAUCUAUCCUUACUGGCCCAUGUACAAGUCUCUUGGAAUAGAGUGUCAUAGAGGGUGAGAAUCCCGUCUCUAACAUGGACUACCAGUUGUGAAUGGAUGAUGUGUUCGACGAGUCGAGUUGUUUGGGAAUGCAGCUCAAAAAGGGUGGUANAUUCCACCUAAAGCUAAAUAUAGGCGAGAGACCGAUAGCGAACAAGUACCGUGAGGGAAAGAUGAAAAGAACUUUGGAAAGAGAGUUAAGCAGUACGUGANAUUGUUGNNAAGGGANACGCUUANAGUCAGAUGUAUGGAUUGGGAAUCAACUUGGCNAUCGCCGAGUGCNAUGUCACGNAUACAUAGGUCNAGCNAUCGAAUUUUGAUUAUGAG